UUAGCUGAUGCAGAAGGAGCUAAGAAACAUGGUAUGAUCGAGUUGUUGAAGUCAUAUGGUGGCCUAUCUUAUGGGCAAGAUGGAAGCCAUUUUGAACCAAAGGCUGUUCCACCUCCUUUGCCAAAGAAGUGUGACUGGGAAAUUGAUCCUACUGAGCUGGAUUUCUCUAACUCAGCAAUUAUUGGGAAGGGGUCUUUUGGUGAAAUAAUAAAAGCUUGUUGGCGUGGAACACCUGUAGCUGUUAAACGCAUUCUCCCAAACCUUUCAGAUGAUCAAUUGGUGAUUCAGGAUUUCAGACAUGAGGUAAAUUUGCUGGUGAAG
This 321-nucleotide unclassified non-coding RNA is filed under the name Hevea brasiliensis (rubber tree). The record is from RNAcentral. Lineage: Eukaryota; Viridiplantae; Streptophyta; Magnoliopsida; Malpighiales; Euphorbiaceae.